Molecule: ribosomal RNA, 468 nt
Filed under: uncultured bacterium
Lineage: Bacteria
Description: partial 16S ribosomal RNA
Rfam family: Bacterial small subunit ribosomal RNA
Source: RNAcentral
GACGAACGCUGGCGGCGUGCUCAACCCAGGCAAGUCGAACGGAAGGGCCCUGCUUUGGGGGGGUGCUCGAGGGCCAAACGGGGGAGUACCAGGUGGGUAACCUCCCCUUGAUUUUGGGAUAACUCAGGAAAAUUGGGCCAAAAACCGGUAAGAAGCUCUUGUUGCUUGGUGGGGGUUGGAAGUUUCAGGCGGUUGGGGAUGGACUCGCGGCUAACCAGCUUGUUGGUGGGGUGGUGGCUUACCAAGGCUUUGACGGGUAGCCGGCCUGAGAGGGUGCCCGGCCACAUUGGGACUGAGAUACGGCCCAGACUCCUACGGGAGGCAGCAGUGGGGAAUAUUGCACAAUGGGCGGAAGCCUGAUGCAGCAACGCCGCGUGCGGGAUGACGGCCUUCGGGUUGUAAACCGCUUUCGCCUGUGACGAAGCGUGAGUGACGGUAAUGGGUAAAGAAGCACCGGCUAACUACGUG